AGCUUGAUGGCAUAGUUGGAACGUGUCCUGCCUUAGUGCUCUUGCACAAGCACCCUUUUGCAGGAAGCCUGGAGUUCAAUUCUCCGUCAAGCCA
Molecule: non-coding RNA, 94 nt
Organism: Mycena latifolia
Lineage: Eukaryota; Fungi; Basidiomycota; Agaricomycetes; Agaricales; Mycenaceae
Source: the annotation of a GenBank genome assembly